GAUAGAGUGUGGCAACGAAGGUCAUGCCAUCUAUAGAGGAUCCCCUUUAACUGGCUGCAGUGUUUAGAGACUUCAUACCAAGCCUUUGCUCCAUGAAGUGUGUCCCCAGGAUUGACCCGGAGCUUAUUCCACAGGAGAGAACCCCCGCUGGGGUGAUGAAUGUGUACGUUCAGACGAGGGAUCCAGAAGCGGAGGAAUGACGCUUUCCUGAAGGACGUGUCAGGGUUAAUUAUGAAGGAAGUAACUAAAGUACAGAAGACCAGCACUGCCUCCUAUUAUUGUGGCAUCCAACCGAUGGCAGAUCGGACGGCCACCCGCUUCAGUUGUACUAUUUCUCAAAGCUUUAACUGUCACCUCGGAAAGUGGCCUGCAUCCUCCAAGCUUGUCCUCCCCAGCCUGCACCUCUUCUCUGCGUCCAAUUCCAUUCAUUAAUUCCUUUAAAAUGGAUUUAUUUAGCAUCUACUGGUGUGUGUUUGGUGCUGGAGAUACAGGAAGGCAUGAUCUCCUCCCUUCAGGAGCUCACAGACUGUGGGGGGGGUGGAAAAGUAAGACCGGAGUUGGGGAAGGGACUUUCCACAGGAGACGACCUUCCUAUGGUCAUUUGCACCUGCCGAAGGCCCGACGUUUUGAAUAAAUAAUUAAUA
Neofelis nebulosa (Clouded leopard) is the source of this 644-nucleotide long non-coding RNA. RefSeq lists it as uncharacterized. NCBI's taxonomy places the organism in Eukaryota, Metazoa, Chordata, Mammalia, Carnivora, Felidae. The transcript is spliced from 3 exons. The record is from RefSeq and is a predicted model, not a curated record.